GUUGCUUCUUGGCCUGUUGGCUAAAAUCAAAAGGUAGUAUCUGUUUUUAUCAGUUUAAUAUCUGAUACGUCCCCGUUCUGGGCAUCGUGCAUUAAACCAAUUUUUGGAACGAAGAGAUGGAUGUGGAGCUUUCUCUGGCCGCUCCACUCAUCGGCCUAGUAUCUCAGUACCUCCGGGAACAGUGCCCCCCCC
Small nuclear RNA from Scleropages formosus (Asian bonytongue), 192 nucleotides. Its record names the gene U2. It matches the Rfam family "U2 spliceosomal RNA". Rfam says of the family: U2 is a small nuclear RNA (snRNA) component of the spliceosome (involved in pre-mRNA splicing). Complementary binding between U2 snRNA (in an area lying towards the 5' end but 3' to hairpin I) and the branchpoint sequence (BPS) of the intron results the bulging out of an unpaired adenosine, on the BPS, which initiates a nucleophilic attack at the intronic 5' splice site, thus starting the first of two transesterification reactions that mediate splicing. The record is from Ensembl. Lineage: Eukaryota; Metazoa; Chordata; Actinopteri; Osteoglossiformes; Osteoglossidae.